AACGAACGCUGGCGGCAUGCCUAACACAUGCAAGUCGAACGAGACCUUCGGGUCUAGUGGCGCACGGGUGCGUAACGCGUGGGAACCUGCCCUUAGGUUCGGAAUAACUCCCCGAAAGGGGUGCUAAUACCGGAUAAUGUCUUCGGACCAAAGAUUUAUCGCCUUUGGAUGGGCCCGCGUUGGAUUAGCUAGUUGGUAGGGUAGAAGCCUACCAAGGCGACGAUCCAUAGCUGGUCUGAGAGGAUGAUCAGCCACACUGGGACUGAGACACGGCCCAGACUCCUACGGGAGGCAGCAGUGGGGAAUAUUGGACAAUGGGCGAAAGCCUGAUCCAGCAAUGCCGCGUGAGUGAUGAAGGCCUUAGGGUUGUAAAGCUCUUUUACCCGGGAUGAUAAUGACAGUACCGGGAGAAUAAGCUCCGGCUAACUCCGUG
RNAcentral lists this ribosomal RNA (433 nucleotides) under uncultured bacterium. RNAcentral describes it as "partial 16S ribosomal RNA". It matches the Rfam family "Bacterial small subunit ribosomal RNA", at positions 29 to 507 of the family's 1533-position model. The record is from RNAcentral.